Molecule: unclassified non-coding RNA, 337 nt
Filed under: soil metagenome
Description: partial contains 5.8S ribosomal RNA, internal transcribed spacer 2, and large subunit ribosomal RNA
Rfam family: 5.8S ribosomal RNA (bases 1-120)
Source: RNAcentral
GAUGAAGAACGUAGUGAAAUGCGAUAAGUAGUGUGAAUUGCAGAAUUCAGUGAAUCAUCGAAUCUUUGAACGCACAUUGCGCCCCUUGGUAUUCCAUGGGGCAUGCCUGUUCGAGCGUCAUUUGUACCUUCAAGCUCUGCUUGGUGUUGGGUGUUUGUCUCGCCUCUGCGUGUAGACUCGCCUUAAAACAAUUGGCAGCCGGCGUAUUGAUUUCGGAGCGCAGUACAUCUCGCGCUUUGCACUCAUAACGACGACGUCCAAAAGUACAUUUUUACACUCUUGACCUCGGAUCAGGUAGGCAUACCCGCUGAACUUAAGCAUAUCAAUAAGCGGAGGA